GACGAACGCUGGCGGCGUGCUUAACACAUGCAAGUCGAACGGUAAGGCCCUUCGGGGUACACGAGUGGCGAACGGGUGAGUAACACGUGGGUGAUCUGCCCUGCACUUCGGGAUAAGCCUGGGAAACUGGGUCUAAUACCGGAUAGGACCCUGGGAUGCAUGUCCUGGGGGGGAAAGCUUUUGCGGUGUGGGAUGGGCCCGCGGCCUAGCAGCUUGUUGGUGGGGUGAUGGCCUACCAAGGCGACGACGGGUAGCCGGCCUGGGCGGGGGACCGGCCACACUGGGACUGAGAGACUGCCCAGACUCCUACGGGAGGCAGCCGUGGGGAAUAUUGAACAAUGGGCGCAAGCCUGAUGCAGCGACGCCGCGUGAGGGAUGACGGCCUUCGGGUUGUAAACCUCUUUCAGCACCGACGAAGCGCAAGUGACGGUAGGUGCAGAAGAAGGACCGGCCAACUACGUGCCAGCCGCCGCCGUAA
This 478-nucleotide ribosomal RNA is filed under the name uncultured bacterium. RNAcentral describes it as "partial 16S ribosomal RNA". It matches the Rfam family "Bacterial small subunit ribosomal RNA", at positions 28 to 523 of the family's 1533-position model. The record is from RNAcentral.